This 497-nucleotide ribosomal RNA is filed under the name uncultured bacterium. RNAcentral's name for it is "partial 16S ribosomal RNA". It matches the Rfam family "Bacterial small subunit ribosomal RNA", at positions 28 to 507 of the family's 1533-position model. The record is from RNAcentral.
GAUGAACGCUGGCGGCGUGCCUAAUACAUGCAAGUCGAGCGAACGGACGAGAAGCUUGCUUCUCUGAUGUUAGCGGCGGACGGGUGAGUAACACGUGGAUAACCUACCUAUAAGACUGGGAUAACUUCGGGAAACCGGAGCUAAUACCGGAUAAUAUUUUGAACCGCAUGGUUCAAAAGUGAAAGACGGUCUUGCUGUCACUUAUAGAUGGAUCCGCGCUGCAUUAGCUAGUUGGUAAGGUAACGGCUUACCAAGGCAACGAUGCAUAGCCGACCUGAGAGGGUGAUCGGCCACACUGGAACUGAGACACGGUCAAGACUCCUACGGGAGGCAGCAGUAGGGAAUCUUCCGCAAUGGGCGAAAGCCUGACGGAGCAACGCCGCGUGAGUGAUGAAGGUCUUCGGAUCGUAAAACUCUGUUAUUAGGGAAGAAUAUAUGUGUAAGUAACUGUGCACAUCUUGACGGUACCUAAUCAGAAAGCCACGGCUAACUACGUG